GGCUAGUCCAAAUGCAGUUGCGUUCACAACUAGUUGAUCAGAACCAGUAAGAGAUUUCUUUGUUCCUUCUCCACUUUCCAGUUCCUCACUUGACUAGCCUGAA
Molecule: Y RNA, 103 nt
Organism: Macaca fascicularis (crab-eating macaque)
Lineage: Eukaryota; Metazoa; Chordata; Mammalia; Primates; Cercopithecidae
Rfam family: Y RNA
About the family: Y RNAs are components of the Ro ribonucleoprotein particle (Ro RNP), in association with Ro60 and La proteins. The Y RNAs and Ro60 and La proteins are well conserved, but the function of the Ro RNP is not known.
Source: Ensembl